This 108-nucleotide transfer RNA is filed under the name Lentinula raphanica. RNAcentral's name for it is "tRNA-Ser". It matches the Rfam family "tRNA". From Rfam's summary of the family: Transfer RNA (tRNA) molecules are approximately 80 nucleotides in length. Their secondary structure includes four short double-helical elements and three loops (D, anti-codon, and T loops). Further hydrogen bonds mediate the characteristic L-shaped molecular structure. tRNAs have two regions of fundamental functional importance: the anti-codon, which is responsible for specific mRNA codon recognition, and the 3' end, to which the tRNAs corresponding amino acid is attached (by aminoacyl-tRNA synthetases). tRNAs cope with the degeneracy of the genetic code in two manners: having more than one tRNA (with a specific anti-codon) for a particular amino acid; and 'wobble' base-pairing, i.e. permitting non-standard base-pairing at the 3rd anti-codon position. Lineage: Eukaryota; Fungi; Basidiomycota; Agaricomycetes; Agaricales; Omphalotaceae. The record is from RNAcentral.
GGCGCUAUAGCCAAGUGGUUACGGCGACAGAUUAGAAUACGCCAAAGGUUCCAGAAAGGUGCAAUCUGUUCCUCUUUGAGGGCGCAGGUUCGAAUCCUGCUGGCGUCG